RNAcentral lists this microRNA precursor (60 nucleotides) under Heligmosomoides polygyrus. RNAcentral describes it as "microRNA hpo-mir-1175 precursor". The record is from miRBase by way of RNAcentral. Lineage: Eukaryota; Metazoa; Nematoda; Chromadorea; Rhabditida; Heligmosomidae.
AAGUGGAGGCCUGGAUCGCACUGCUCCUGAAUGCCAAGUGAGAUUCUCACCUCCAUUUCA